GAUGAAGAACGCAGCGAAAUGCGAUACGUAAUGUGAAUUGCAGAUUUCAGUGAAUCAUCGAAUCUUUGAACGCACAUUGCGCCCGCUAGUAUUCUGGCGGGCAUGCGUGUUCGAGCGUCAUUUCAACCAUCAAGCCCUAGGCUUGCGUUGGAGCCCUGCGGCUGCCGCAGGCUCCCAAAUCCAGUGGCGGGCUCGUCGUCGUACCGAGUGCAGUAAACAUCCUCGCUCAGGGAACGUGACGGGUUCUUGCCGUGAAACCCCCCACAUAUCAAGGUUGACCUCGGAUCAGGUAGGAAUACCCGCUGAACUUAAGCAUAUCAAUAAGCGGAGGA
Molecule: unclassified non-coding RNA, 332 nt
Filed under: soil metagenome
Description: partial contains 5.8S ribosomal RNA, internal transcribed spacer 2, and large subunit ribosomal RNA
Rfam family: 5.8S ribosomal RNA (bases 1-120)
Source: RNAcentral